AAUGACUAAUGACUCUAGAUCGCGUCUGGAAAGGCAAUUUAAUUAGUACUUUAAAAACUAGUUACUAAUGAUAAUGGUAGGUUUAAUUACCGAUGGCGCUAAUGUUUUAACUGGACGGAGACAUAGUGUUCAGCAACAGCUAGUAGGUGCAACAAUUUUCUCACUUUCAUUGUUUGUCGCACCGAUUGCAGCUGGCACUGAAAGAUGCAGCCAGCACUUCAAAGGAACUCCAAAUUCUGCAGCUAUUUUGUGAGCAACUCUUCAUUUUUCAUCGAAGUUCUACUGUUAUAUCAGCGGUUUAUUGUAAAGCACGCAAAGUUUAUGGUGUAAAAGGCCAAAUGCAGAGUCAUACGAGUUAAUGUACCAGAUGGGUUACAAGUUAAGUACCAGAUGGGUUGCGCAUAUGGUAAAUGCGUUGGAGAAUCUUCUCAAUGGUCUAAAAGUGCAUAUUCAUAGUUAUACCACUAUCAGCUUGGAAAGCAACUACAGCGCAACACAGAAAUCAAAGGCUAAGUUUUUUGCAAAGAAAUUGGUUGAUCAGCACUUAAUGUCGACGGCGAUCUAUAUUCUUGAUGUGUGUAGAGCAAUGACAAUUUUUUCAGAGGCAUUAGUAAG
Molecule: non-coding RNA, 615 nt
Organism: Hydra vulgaris (swiftwater hydra)
Lineage: Eukaryota; Metazoa; Cnidaria; Hydrozoa; Anthoathecata; Hydridae
Source: RefSeq, a predicted model, not a curated record